Long non-coding RNA from Pygocentrus nattereri (red-bellied piranha), 606 nucleotides. RefSeq lists it as uncharacterized. The transcript is spliced from 3 exons. The record is from RefSeq and is a predicted model, not a curated record. NCBI's taxonomy places the organism in Eukaryota, Metazoa, Chordata, Actinopteri, Characiformes, Serrasalmidae.
UACAAUCAAUUAAGCACCGUAGCACAGCCUUGGUAGCUGCAGCGCCACCGCUAGCGAAUGCCACUUGAUUCUCCAUAGCCUCUAACAGGGGUUAAACUCUGCCUUCACCCCUUAACCCGCCAGCCUAAGCCAGUAGGGGGAAGACAUAUUGCUGGCCUAAUUACAAACGUACACGUCUUAAAAAAAAAAAAAAAAGUAAAAAAAUCCAAUUAUGUUUGCAUUUCUAAUCACGGCGCAUAAUUACGCUAAAUAAAUAAAUCAAGGUCGUGCCUCGCCACAGCAACGGGAUCACCAUGGUAAUAUUGCUUUAUUAAUCACAGUGAUGACAUCAACGGCAGGCAGGUGGAGUAGUUUACACUUUUCUCUCAAAACAAUCGAAAGCACCCAGCAAAUACCGGUACCAUCACAGUAAGGUAAUGAAGACAUACCCCUAAAGGUUCCACCCCAGUAACAGGAGCUCUGAGAGUGUAAAAAUGACCCCACCAGAUAAGGGGAAAGGAGAAAAUCAAGCUGCUUCAGAUCUGAAAACAUCCACAGGUGCUUCUGUCCAUCCUUCCACUGUAAGAAGAUGACUCAGUGUUGUGGGUCUGAAAGGACGUGUAGCUG